CAGAGCUAUCGAGAGAGAGAGUUGCGACACUUCCAUUGGACUCCGUUGUAGCGCCUACUUCCGGGGUAUGGAGCCUCGAAUAGUUCCAAACAACCAUUUUACGGCGUAGGAGACCGUUCAUUUCCAUUGCUGGCCGCCGAGUAACUUCUGAGAAAUUAGUGUCACUGCUGAUGCUGUUGGUGGAUGUUGUUGGUGGCUGCUGGUGGUGGCGGCUGACGACGUUUGCUGAUGGUGGUGGCUGGUGCUGGCGUUGGCUGCUGGUGGUGGCUGCUGGUAGAUGCUGCUUGUUGUGACUGCUGGAAUAAGAGGAGGCUGGGGGCUGCGGACGGUGGGCCAGGAAUGGAGAGGCCAAAUACAUCCAUGGCAAUCAGUAAGCCGGUUGGCAGUGGCCUAGAUGUUAUGACCUCAGCUCAUGGCAUGAGGGAAGGUUGCUGUCCAGACCCAUGGCCUCUCUUUCCAGCUGUGCCACUACAUUGGAGGACUGCAUGAGGGAAUCACUCGUCUGAGAACGGAACAGCUGCUCCACGUUCUGCAGGAGCGUGAACACCUCAUCGGAUGGACGGUAUAAUGCUCCCCUUUUAAAUUCUUUUAAUUCAAGUAAUACAGCUCUCUCACUUGCGGUGUUGGUGACUUUUUCCACCAGUGCACACUUGCAUUCCUCACAGAGUGAGAAGCCGAUAACCCUCUUCACUAUGUAUCCUGCCAGGUGGUAGAGGACACAGGACUCGGUCUUUGUCAUGUCAGGUGGUGAUGGGUCUACCAGCUGCUCCACUCUC
Long non-coding RNA from Gadus macrocephalus (Pacific cod), 776 nucleotides. RefSeq lists it as uncharacterized. The transcript is spliced from 3 exons. Lineage: Eukaryota; Metazoa; Chordata; Actinopteri; Gadiformes; Gadidae. The record is from RefSeq and is a predicted model, not a curated record.